This 253-nucleotide ribosomal RNA is filed under the name uncultured bacterium. Its description in RNAcentral is "partial 16S ribosomal RNA". It matches the Rfam family "Bacterial small subunit ribosomal RNA", at positions 524 to 776 of the family's 1533-position model. The record is from RNAcentral.
UACGUAGGGCGCAAGCGUUGUCCGGAUUUAUUGGGCGUAAAGAGCUCGUAGGCGGUUUGUCGCGUCGAUUGUGAAAACCUGCAGCUUAACUGUGGGCGUGCAGCCGAUACGGGCAGACUAGAGGCAUGCAGGGGAGAAUGGAAUUCCUGGUGUAGCGGUGAAAUGCGCAGAUAUCAGGAGGAACACCGGUGGCGAAGGCGGUUCUCUGGGCAUGUCCUGACGCUGAGGAGCGAAAGCGUGGGGAGCGAACAGG